This 266-nucleotide ribosomal RNA is filed under the name uncultured bacterium. Its description in RNAcentral is "partial 16S ribosomal RNA". It matches the Rfam family "Bacterial small subunit ribosomal RNA", at positions 793 to 1055 of the family's 1533-position model. The record is from RNAcentral.
GUCCACGCCCUAAACGAUGUCGACUGGUUGUUGGGAGAGGCAACUUUCUUAGUAACGAAGCUAACGCGUGAAGUCGACCGCCUGGGGAGUACGGCCGCAAGGUUAAAACUCAAAGGAAUUGACGGGGACCCGCACAAGCGGUGGAUGAUGUGGAUCAAUUCGAUGCAACGCGAAAACCUUAACCUACCCUUGACAUGUGCGGAAGCCGGAUGAGAGUUCGGUGUGCCCGAAAGGGAGCCGCAACACAGGUGCUGCAUGGCUGUCGU